AACCGUGACUCGGGGUGUCGUGUGGCCUGGCCACCGGCUGAGACUUUACCCGCAUUCACCUGAUCUGGGUCAUGCCAGCGUAGGGAGGUCACGAUGGAAGCGG
This 103-nucleotide non-coding RNA is filed under the name Laribacter hongkongensis. RNAcentral's name for it is "TPP sequence". It matches the Rfam family "TPP riboswitch aptamer (THI element)". Rfam says of the family: Vitamin B(1) in its active form thiamin pyrophosphate (TPP) is an essential coenzyme that is synthesised by coupling of pyrimidine and thiazole moieties in bacteria. The record is from RNAcentral. RNAcentral also lists the same sequence under 1 other name. Lineage: Bacteria; Pseudomonadati; Pseudomonadota; Betaproteobacteria; Neisseriales; Aquaspirillaceae.